GCGAAUGGCUCAUUAUAUAAGUUAUCGUUUAUUUGAUAGUACCUUACUACUUGGAUAACCGUGGUAAUUCUAGAGCUAAUACAUGCUAAAAAUCCCGACUUCGGAAGGGAUGUAUUUAUUAGAUUAAAAACCAAUGCCCUUCGGGGCUCACUGGUGAUUCAUGAUAACUCCUCGAAUCGCAUGGCCUUGUGCCGGCGAUGGUUCAUUCAAAUUUCUUCCCUAUCAACUUUCGAUGUUUGGGUAUUGGCCAAACAUGGUUGCAACGGGUAACGGAGGGUUAGGGCUCGACCCCGGAGAAGGAGCCUGAGAAACGGCUACUACAUCCAAGGAAGGCAGCAGGCGCGCAAAUUACCCAAUCCCGACACGGGGAGGUAGUGACAAUAAAUACUGAUACAGGGCUCUUUUGGGUCUUGUAAUUGGAAUGAGUACAAUUUAAAUCCCUUAACGAGGAACAAUUGGAGGGCAAGUCUGGUGCCAGCAGCCGCGGUAAUUCCAGCUCCAAUAGCGUAUAUUAAAGUUGUUGUGGUUAAAAAGCUCGUAGUUGAACCUUGGGCCUGGCUGGCCGGUCCGCCUCACCGCGUGUACUGGUCCGGCCGGGCCUUUCCCUCUGUGGAACCCCAUGCCCUUCACUGGGUGUGGCGGGGAAACAGGACUUUUACUGUGAAAAAAUUAGAGUGCUCCAGGCAGGCCUAUGCUCGAAUACAU
RNAcentral lists this ribosomal RNA (705 nucleotides) under Fusarium sp. CC-foc24-3. Its description in RNAcentral is "SSU rRNA". It matches the Rfam family "Eukaryotic small subunit ribosomal RNA", at positions 89 to 804 of the family's 1831-position model. Lineage: Eukaryota; Fungi; Ascomycota; Sordariomycetes; Hypocreales; Nectriaceae. The record is from RNAcentral.